CCUACGGGUGGCAGCAGUGAGGAAUAUUGGUCAAUGGGCGCAAGCCUGAACCAGCCAAGUAGCGUGAGGGAGGACGGCCCUACGGGUUGUAAACCUCUUUUGCCGGGGAGCAACGGGCGUCACGUGUGGCGCCACUGAGAGUACCCGGAGAAAAAGCAUCGGAUAACCCCGUGCCACCAGCGGCGGUAAUACGGAGGAUGCGAGCGUUAUCCGGAUUUAUGGGGUUUAAAGGGUGCGUAGGCGGACAUUUAAGUCAGUGGUAAAAUUUGGGGGCUAAACACUUUCCCGCCAUUGAAACUGGGGUUCUUGAGUGGAAGAGAAGUAGGCGGAAUGCGUGGUGUAGCGGUGAAAUGCAUAGAUAUCACGCAGAACCCCGAUUGCGAAGGCAGCAUGCCGGCUUCCAACUGACGCUGAAGCACGAAAGCGUGGGGAUCGAACAGGAUUAGAUACCCGUGUAGUC
RNAcentral lists this ribosomal RNA (460 nucleotides) under uncultured bacterium. RNAcentral describes it as "partial 16S ribosomal RNA". It matches the Rfam family "Bacterial small subunit ribosomal RNA", at positions 338 to 795 of the family's 1533-position model. The record is from RNAcentral.